AAAUAGAACUUUGCAGAGAGAGUUAACAGGGCGUGAAACCGUUAAUUGAGAAACGAAUCGGAGCCACGAAGUCGUUUCGUUGUUCAGUCAGUUGGGGUUCAGCGUUUAUCGAAAGAUUGGCGUGUAUUCCCGCGACUGGCCAUUGUAAGCGUACACUGCAACCAGUUAGACGAUUGGCCAUGGGCCCAGUUGCUCGGGUUAGUAGUAGCAAGGUGCGCCUCGGUGCAUGCUUGUUGCUGGACUCGUGGCGAGUGAGCUAUGGCCAAAUACUGACUGGCGAAAUGAAAAUCGCAUCAUUAUGCGUAAUACAGAAUGCAACUAGCCGCGUGGGUGUCUACGCCAUGGACUAUUUGGUUUAAGCUCGGCAGUUUUGAAUUCAGACUUGCUUGCUACCAGUGGGGCAACUCCUGGUGCUUGUACAGCUUCUGUCUAAUCGGCUGUCGACUUGGCCUAAUAUCGUUCUGUGGCGAAGCGAUUGGGCGCCAACGCGAGCUAACUCGCAAUUAUUGGCAGUGAGUAGGUCGGCUUUCCGAACGACCCGUCUUGAAACACGGACCAAGGAGUCUAAUUAGGCAUCGAGUCGAUCGGUCUUGAAUAGGCCAGACUGGGCGGCUUCGCCCGACGGAAGGCGAAGAGAAAUCGUGUGAUCUGGUGGGCAACAACAGCCUCCUGGCGCAACAUGUGCCUGUUCGUGUGGCAAUGUCGCAAUGAUUGCCGGCGGAGCAAAGAGAUGCCUGAUUGGUACCCGAAAGAUGGUGAGCCUGGGCAAAUUGAAGCCAGAGGAAACUCUGGUGGAGGAUUGUAGCGAUUCUGACGUGCAAAUCGAUCGUCAGACCUGGGUAUAGGGGCGAAAGACUAAUCGAACCAUC
Molecule: ribosomal RNA, 869 nt
Filed under: Aculus lespedezae
Lineage: Eukaryota; Metazoa; Arthropoda; Arachnida; Trombidiformes; Eriophyidae
Description: partial large subunit ribosomal RNA
Rfam family: Eukaryotic large subunit ribosomal RNA
Source: RNAcentral